This 323-nucleotide ribosomal RNA is filed under the name uncultured bacterium. RNAcentral's name for it is "bacterial SSU rRNA". It matches the Rfam family "Bacterial small subunit ribosomal RNA", at positions 28 to 351 of the family's 1533-position model. The record is from RNAcentral.
GACGAACGCUGGCGGCGUGCUUAACACAUGCAAGUCGAGCGGUAAGGCCCUUUCGGGGGUACACGAGCGGCGAACGGGUGAGUAACACGUGGGUGACCUGCCCUCAGCUCUGGGAUAAGCCUGGGAAACCGGGUCUAAUACUGGAUAUGACUCCAUGACGCAUGUUGUGGGGGUGGAAAGCCUUGUGCGGCUGAGGAUGGGCCCGCGGCCUAUCAGCUUGUUGGUGGGGUGANGGCCUACCAAGGCGACGACGGGUAGCCGGCCUGAGAGGGCGACCGGCCACACUGGGACUGAGACACGGCCCAGACUCCUACGGGAGGCAG